UCAUCAUGUUGAAACACUGAUUCUCGUACGAUCUCUGAAGUUAAAUUGUUGGCCCUGGUCAGUACCUAGAUGGGUGACUGCUUGGGAAUAUCAGGUGCC
Acanthosepion pharaonis is the source of this 99-nucleotide non-coding RNA. The record is from the annotation of a GenBank genome assembly. NCBI's taxonomy places the organism in Eukaryota, Metazoa, Mollusca, Cephalopoda, Sepiida, Sepiidae.